UAAGGAGGGUGCAAGCAUUAUUCGGAAUUAUUGGGUGUAAAGAGCGCGUAGGCGGUCCUUUAAGUCAGAUGUGAAAGCCCAGGGUUCAACCCUGGAAGUGCAUUUGAAACUAAAGGACUUGAGUAUGGGAGAGGGAAGUGGAAUUCCUGGUGUAGCGGUGAAAUGCGUAGAUAUCAGGAGGAACACCGGUGGCGAAGGCGACUUCCUGGACCAAUACUGACGCUGAGGCGCGAAGGCGUGGGGAGCAAACAGG
RNAcentral lists this ribosomal RNA (253 nucleotides) under uncultured bacterium. RNAcentral describes it as "partial 16S ribosomal RNA". It matches the Rfam family "Bacterial small subunit ribosomal RNA", at positions 524 to 776 of the family's 1533-position model. The record is from RNAcentral.